GAAUUCGCCUUUAGGCGGGGAAUAACUAUGGGAAACCAUAGCUAAUGCCCCAUAUGCUCGAAAGAGUGAAAGGAGCAAUCCACCCAAAGAGAAGCUCGCGGCUGAUUAGCUAGUUGGUAAGGUAAUGGCUUACCAAGGCGACGAUCAGUAGCUGGUUUGAGAGAACGAUCAGCCACACUGGAACUGAGACACGGUCCAGACUCCUACGGGAGGCAGCAGUGGGGAAUUUUCCGCAAUGGGCGCAAGCCUGACGGAGCAAUACCGCGUGAGGGAUGACGGCCUUUGGGUUGUAAACCUCUUUUAUCAAGGAGGAAGUUCUGACGUGUACUUGAUGAAUAAGCAUCGGCUAACUCCGUGCCAGCAGCCGCAGUAAGACGGAGGAUGCAAGUGUUAUCCGGAAUCACUGGGCGUAAAGCGUCUGUAGGUGGUUUAAAAAGUCUACUGUUAAAAAUUGAAGCUUAACUUCAAAGAUGCCGUAGAAACUUUUAAACUUGAGGAUGGUAGGGGUAGAGGGAAUUUCCAGUGGAGCGGUGAAAUGCGUAGAUCUUGGAAAGACCACCAAUGGCGAAGGCACUCUACUGGGCCAUUACU
Molecule: ribosomal RNA, 591 nt
Filed under: uncultured bacterium
Lineage: Bacteria
Description: bacterial SSU rRNA
Rfam family: Bacterial small subunit ribosomal RNA
Source: RNAcentral